Molecule: long non-coding RNA, 1659 nt
Organism: Stegostoma tigrinum
Lineage: Eukaryota; Metazoa; Chordata; Chondrichthyes; Orectolobiformes; Stegostomatidae
Exons: 7
Source: RefSeq, a predicted model, not a curated record
CUCUCAGCCAUCCCUUCCUCCCACACCAAGCCGCAGCCCCAGCUACCUACUAACCUCAUCCCACCUCCUUGACCUGUCCGUCUUCCCUGGACUGACCUUUUCUCUCCUCUCCACCUUCGGUCCGCCUCCCCCUCUCUCCCUAUUUAUUCCAGUUCCCUCUCCCCGUCCCCCUCUCUGAUGAAGGGUCUAGGCCCGAAACGUCAGCUUUUGUGCUCCUGAGAUGCUGCUUGGCCUGCUGUGCUCAUCCAGCCUCACAUUUUAUUAUUUUAGGAGAGAGAGCUGUUUUGGUUUGUGAUACAAGAGACGAGGCUGUCUAUGCCUUUCACCCAUCGGUAGCUCUCCUCCUGUCCCUGCCUCUAUGCACACACUCUGCCAGGCAUAGUUUUCCUCCCUCUGUGUGUGUGUGUGUGUGUGUGUGUGUGUCUCUCUCUCUCUCGCUUCAGCUCCAAAAACCUAAGAUGCAUCGGAUAUAAAAACACGCACAUAAACACACACACACACAUCAACAAGCCAUGGAGAAAGAUCAGGAAUUACUGCAAGCUGUCAAAACCGAAGAUGUGGCUGCAGUGCAGAAGCUGUUGCCAAGGCCGAAACAAGGCAAAGCGAAUUCUGAUGUCGGUAACUGGAAAGCCUCCAUGGUUGGAGGACGAGAAGCCGUAUCCAAUUGAAGCAGCACGGGCUUCUGCGAUGACUGUGGAAACCACUGCUUAUGCCUUGCUUCAAGCAUUGUCAAGGAAUGAUAUUGACUAUGCAACACGGAUUGCGAGGUGGCUAACGAUGCAACAGAACUAUGGUGGUGGGUUUCACUCGACGCAGGACACACUCAUUGCCUUGGAAGCUUCAUCAUGAUACGACAUUGCAUUUCUGAAGAGGGAAGAAGAAAUCAACGUGCAAAUUCAAUUCCAUGGUUUUGGAAGUCCCAUUGAGAACACGAUUCAUGUGCGCUGGCAUAAUGCUCUGACCGAGAAAGAAUCGAAGCUUCCGCUUGGAAGAAAGAUUCACAUCAAGUUGACUGGUCAAGUAAAUGGGACACUGACUAACCAUACAAUUAGACUGUUUUGAUGAGGAACUUAAAGAUUACGAGUCCCGUCCGUUUGACUCAGAGUUUGGUACCAUAGGUUGGUACGAUCUUCGUUGGAGAAGGAAAAGGGAUGUUCCAGAUACAGAAAAUAGUCAAACCAUUUACUACAAAGUCCGUUUCUGGGUGGAGUUAGUGGAACCGAAAAAGAUGUCUCCCUCACAGCGUUUGUGACAAAAGAAUUGCAUUGUUCCUUGGCGGCCUUUCAACAGAAGAAUAUUCAGAGAUUUCACGAGUGUCAUUUUGUAUAGACCACAAACAGCAGAGGUCCCAGCACAGAUCCCUGCGGAACACCAAUCGUCCUGGAUCUACAGCCUGAAAAGCACCAUUCCACCUCUUGCCUCUGUCUUCUCUGGGCAAGCCAGUUGUGAAUCCAAGCAUCCAAGCCACCAUUGACUCGGUGCAUCUUAAUUUUCUGGAUGAUCCUAUCAUGAGGCACCUUGUUGAAAGUAUUGCUAAAAUCCAUGUCAACAAUAUCCACUGCUCUACCUUCAUUGAUCACAUUCGUCACCUCCUCAAAAAAUUCAGUCAAGUUAGGAAGACAUGACCUGCCCUGCACAAAGCCAUGCUGACUGUCCCGA